Non-coding RNA from Caenorhabditis elegans, 149 nucleotides. The record is from Ensembl. NCBI's taxonomy places the organism in Eukaryota, Metazoa, Nematoda, Chromadorea, Rhabditida, Rhabditidae.
UUAUUAUAGGGCCACUGUCUUCUUUUUUCACCUUUUUCCACACCGCCGCCUCAUCAUCUGUUACUAGAAACAGGAGGUGACCGUUGAGUACAGAUAUCGAUAGAUCAUUAAUUCACAGGGGUCUCCAAGCUGUGUAGCUACAAUUUCUC